GCGGAGACACUGUGUUCACGGCUUAGAGGACCAGGAGAAGGGGCGGCAGAGCCACCUACUGCACGCUGGAGGCUGCAGCCUGCUGUACCGCGGCUGGCCUCGCUGCAGUGGGUGGUGGUGACGGAAACUGCAGCGGCUGGAGCGAAGGACAUGCACUGUCGUCACAACGGUGAUGAGCUGGAAAUUAAUUGCUGACAUUUGAAAACCACCAAACCAAUACAUAAGUCCCAGAGACAGAAUUUUGCUCUUGCCACCCAGGCUGAAGUGCAGUGGCACUCGGCUCAGUGCAACCUCUGCCCCAGAUUCAAGCAAUUCUCCUGCCUCAGUCUCCACAGUAGCUGGAACUACCGCCUCCCAGAUUCAAGCAAUUCUCCUGCCUCAGUCUCUGCAGUAGCUGGAACUACAGGGAACAUGACAUCCUCUUCCCAGGGUACACCCACCUGCAGAGGGCCCAACCCCAUCACUGGAGCCACUGGAUUCUGAGACUUGAGUGCAAUGGCACGAUCUCAGCUCACUGCAACCUUCACCUCCGAGGUUCCAGUAAUUCUCCUGGCUCAGCCUCCCAAGUAGCUGGGAUUACAGCUGAGUUCCUGUUCUAGGCUUCAUUCUGCAUGACCCAUCUCAGCAGGAUGGCCAGGGACCUCAUCCUCUGUGGCACCAAGGAAUUCAGCUUCAUGUAGCUCUCAGAUGCCUACAGACCUGGCCAGUCAGCUGCUGGACAAGACAAGGGCCUAGCCCUUUCAGUGCCUGCAUCUUUGUCUGCAGCACCAGAAGCAGCCUGAUGCCCCAGAAGAAAAAACCCCGACAGCUUGGAGCUGAUCUGGAGCAAAGCAAGGGUGUGUGUUUGGGCAGGGCACUGGAAAAGGCAAUGCACCUGACCUCUGGGGAAGCUGAUCUGAGAGGCACGCGGGACGUCUUGGUGUGGGGAAUCUGUGUGGAGAUGCGUCUGGAGACAGUGAGUCAUACUUCCUGACCUUAUAACCAUGCAGCUCAGCAGUCUCUGUGAGAGUCGGCUCCCUGCAAUUUGUGUUCCAGGAUCCAUGGAGCACGUAACACAUCCUGAUGCUGUUCUCAGCCUUCUAUGGCCUCUUGGUCACCGUUUCCUACCAUCUGAGCUGGCAGAGCAGUGACCCAUCUGUGUUCAUGUCCUUCAUUCAAUGCAGACUGUUUCCUAAGUUUUUACAUCAAAAUCUGGAAGAGUCAGCUGCUGAUCCUCUCCCCAAGAAGAUGAAAGAUUCUGUGGUGCCUCACAGGCCAGGAAUGGUGGCUGACACCUGGAAUCCCAGCACUGUGGAGUUUGAGUUUAAGACCAGCCUGGCCAAUAUGGUGAAACCCUGUCUCUACUGAAAAAAAUACAAAAAUUACCUGG
Non-coding RNA from Callithrix jacchus (white-tufted-ear marmoset), 1369 nucleotides. NCBI's taxonomy places the organism in Eukaryota, Metazoa, Chordata, Mammalia, Primates, Cebidae. The record is from RefSeq and is a predicted model, not a curated record.